Molecule: ribosomal RNA, 119 nt
Filed under: Pteropus alecto (black flying fox)
Lineage: Eukaryota; Metazoa; Chordata; Mammalia; Chiroptera; Pteropodidae
Source: RNAcentral
GUCUACAGCCACGGUACCCUAAAUGAGCCUGAUCCUGGCUAAUCUUGGAAGCUAAGCAGGGUCAGGCCUGGUUAGUACUUGGAUGGGAGACCACCUAGGCAGACCAGGUGCUGUAGGUG